GACAGCAGCCGCCGCGGUAAUGCGUAGGGUGCGAGCGUUAAUCGGAAUUACUGGGCGUAAAGCGUGCGCAGGCGGUUGUGUAAGACAGGUGUGAAAUCCCCGGGCUUAACCUGGGAACUGCGCUUGAGGCUGCACAGCUAGAGUAUGGCAGAGGGGGGUGGAAUUCCACGUGUAGCAGUGAAAUGCGUAGAGAUGUGGAGGAACACCGAUGGCGAGGGCAGCCCCCUGGGCCAAUACUGACGCUCAUGCACGAAAGCGUGGGGAGCAAACAGGAUUAGAUACCCGUGUAGUCCCUGUCUCUUAUAC
RNAcentral lists this ribosomal RNA (306 nucleotides) under uncultured bacterium. Its description in RNAcentral is "partial 16S ribosomal RNA". It matches the Rfam family "Bacterial small subunit ribosomal RNA", at positions 507 to 807 of the family's 1533-position model. The record is from RNAcentral.